GACGAAGGGGGCUAGCGUUGUUCGGAAUCACUGGGCGUAAAGCGCACGUAGGCGGAUCUUUAAGUCAGGGGUGAAAUCCCGAGGCUCAACCUCGGAACUGCCUUUGAUACUGGGGAUCUCGAGUCCGGGAGAGGUGAGUGGAACUGCGAGUGUAGAGGUGAAAUUCGUAGAUAUUCGCAAGAACACCAGUGGCGAAGGCGGCUCACUGGCCCGGUACUGACGCUGAGGUGCGAAAGCGUGGGGAGCAAACCGG
RNAcentral lists this ribosomal RNA (253 nucleotides) under uncultured bacterium. Its description in RNAcentral is "partial 16S ribosomal RNA". It matches the Rfam family "Bacterial small subunit ribosomal RNA", at positions 524 to 776 of the family's 1533-position model. The record is from RNAcentral.